GCAAGCCCGCCGGAAAUGGAGAGAUUCCCACCGGGACCUGAAAGAAGGGGACAUUGUGCUCCUGAAGGACAAUCAAGCCGCACGCAACGUGUGGCCUAUGGCGAUGAUCACAGCUGUCUUUCCAGGGAGAGACAGCAAAGUAAGGAAGGUGGAGCUCAGGACAUCGGAUCAAGGUUCUCCGAAGGUGUUCCUAAGACCUGUGUCAGAAGUAGUUCUCCUUCUGCCAAAAGACUGUAGUUAAAGGACAGAGACAUUUAAAAGCUCAUAGUGACCUUUAAGGUCAGACGGGGAGUAUUCUGCCCUUCAGGCAUUUCAUUUGAAUUGAAUGCUUUAAAUUUGUGUUUCAUCCAGACUUUUAUUUUGACGUUGUAUUUUCGAGCUGCACAGGAAGCAGGAAGGAAAAUAGUUUAGAUCACGUUAGAAUGCGCGCGUAGAAAACGUUGGAAACGGCAGGUUGUUUGGGAGUGCAGACGGUCACUACCCCAGAGAAAGGCUUCUUGCAUGUUGGUUCCCCAGCAGAGGCAUCGCUUUUUCACUCUCUUUCAUCUUUUGAUCUCUUGAUCUUAUCUACAUGGAUUCAAUACAAUGUGAAGAAUGAAAAUAAAUCUACAAACAAGAA
Molecule: long non-coding RNA, 619 nt
Organism: Gadus morhua (Atlantic cod)
Lineage: Eukaryota; Metazoa; Chordata; Actinopteri; Gadiformes; Gadidae
Exons: 2
Source: RefSeq, a predicted model, not a curated record